This 568-nucleotide ribosomal RNA is filed under the name Aliivibrio salmonicida. Its description in RNAcentral is "bacterial SSU rRNA". It matches the Rfam family "Bacterial small subunit ribosomal RNA", at positions 47 to 604 of the family's 1533-position model. The record is from RNAcentral. Lineage: Bacteria; Pseudomonadati; Pseudomonadota; Gammaproteobacteria; Vibrionales; Vibrionaceae.
CCUAACCCAUGCAWGUCGAGCGGGURACAAGAAGUAGCUUGCUACUUUGCUGACKAGCGGCGGACGGGUGAGUAAUGCCUGGGAAUAUGCCUUGAUGUGGGGGAUAACUAUGGAAACGAUAGCUAAUACCGCAUAAUGUCUUCGGACCAAAGAGGGGGAUCUUCGGACCUCUCGCGUCAAGAUUAGCCCAGGUGAGAUWAGCUAGUUGGUGGGGUAAGAGCUCACCAAGGCGACGAUCUCUAGCUGGUCUGAGAGGAUGAUCAGCCACACUGGAACUGAGACACGGUCCAGACUCCUACGGGAGGCAGCAGUGGGGAAUAUUGCACAAUGGGCGAAAGCCUGAUGCAGCCAUGCCGCGUGUAUGAAGAAGGCCUUCGGGUUGUAAAGUACUUUCAGUCGUGAGGAAGGGUGUGCAGUUAAUAGCUGCACAUCUUGACGUUAGCGACAGAAGAAGCACCGGCUAACUCCGUGCCAGCAGCCGCGGUAAUACGGAGGGUGCGAGCGUUAAUCGGAAUUACUGGGCGUAAAGCGCAUGCAGGUGGUUCAUUAAGUCAGAUGUGAAAGCCCG